CGAGGAUCCAAGCGUUAUCCGGAAUCAUUGGGUUUAAAGGGUCCGUAGGUGGAUAAUUAAGUCAGAGGUGAAAGUUUGCAGCUCAACUGUAAAAUUGCCUUUGAUACUGGUUAUCUUGAAUUAUUGUGAAGUGGUUAGAAUAUGUAGUGUAGCGGUGAAAUGCAUAGAUAUUACAUAGAAUACCAAUUGCGAAGGCAGAUCACUAACAAUAUAUUGACACUGAUGGACGAAAGCGUGGGGAGCGAACAGGAUUAGAUACCCGAGUAGUCC
Molecule: ribosomal RNA, 270 nt
Filed under: uncultured archaeon
Lineage: Archaea
Description: partial 16S ribosomal RNA
Rfam family: Bacterial small subunit ribosomal RNA
Source: RNAcentral